Molecule: ribosomal RNA, 805 nt
Filed under: Guptibacillus hwajinpoensis
Lineage: Bacteria; Bacillati; Bacillota; Bacilli; Caryophanales; Guptibacillaceae
Description: Pseudalkalibacillus hwajinpoensis partial 23S ribosomal RNA
Rfam family: Bacterial large subunit ribosomal RNA
Source: RNAcentral
GGUUAAGCUACUAAGGGCGCACGGUGGAUGCCUUGGCACUAGAAGCCUAAGAAGGACGGGACGAACACCGAUAUGCUUCGGGGAGCUGUAAGUACGCUUUGAUCCGGAGAUUUCCGAAUGGGGGAACCCACCAUCUUUAAUAGGAUGGUAUCCAUUUCUGAAUACAUAGGGAAUGGAAGGCAGACCCGGGGAACUGAAACAUCUCAUUACCCGGAGGAAGAGAAAGCAAACGCGAUUUCCUGAGUAGCGGCGAGCGAAACGGAAUCAGCCCAAACCAGAGGGCUUGCCCUCUGGGGUUGUAGGACGUCUCUUUGGAGUUACAAAGGCACGGAUAGACGAAGCGACCUGGAAAGGUCCAUCAGAGAAGGUAACAAUCCUGUAGUCAAAAUCCGAUGCCCUCCGAGACGGAUCCUGAGUACGGCGGGACACGUGAAACCCCGUCGGAAUCCGGGAGGACCAUCUCCCAAGGCUAAAUACUCUCUAGUGACCGAUAGUGAACCAGUACCGUGAGGGAAAGGUGAAAAGCACCCCGGAAGGGGAGUGAAAAAGAACCUGAAACCGUGUGCCUACAACUAGUUGGAGCCCGUUAAUGGGUGACAGCGUGCCUUUUGUAGAAUGAACCGGCGAGUUACGAUCCCGUGCAAGGUUAAGCUGAGAAGGCGGAGCCGCAGCGAAAGCGAGUCUGAAUAGGGCGAAAUAGUACGUGGUCGUAGACCCGAAACCAGGUGAUCUACCCAUGUCCAGGUGAAGUUCAGUAACACUGAAUGGAGGCCCGAACCCACGCAUGUUGAAAAUGCGGGAUGAG